RNAcentral lists this ribosomal RNA (421 nucleotides) under uncultured bacterium. Its description in RNAcentral is "bacterial SSU rRNA". It matches the Rfam family "Bacterial small subunit ribosomal RNA", at positions 30 to 471 of the family's 1533-position model. The record is from RNAcentral.
AUUGAACGCUGGCGGCAGGCCUAACACAUGCAAGUCGAGCGGGGUUUUCGGACCUAGCGGCGGACGGGUGAGUAAUGCGUAGGAAGCUACCCGAUAGAGGGGGAUACCAGUUGGAAACGACUGUUAAUACCGCAUAAUGUCUACGGACCAAAGUGUGGGACCUUCGGGCCACAUGCUAUCGGAUGCGCCUACGUGGGAUUAGCUAGUUGGUGGGGUAAUGGCUCACCAAGGCGACGAUCCCUAGCUGGUUUGAGAGGAUGAUCAGCCACACUGGAACUGAGACACGGUCCAGACUCCUACGGGAGGCAGCAGUGGGGAAUAUUGGACAAUGGGCGCAAGCCUGAUCCAGCCAUGCCGCGUGUGUGAAGAAGGCCUCGGUUGUAAGACACUUCUAGCGAGGAGGAAGGGUAGUAGUUAAUAG